AAUGAACGCUGGCGGCAGGCCUAACACAUGCAAGUCGAACGGAUCCUUCGGGAUUAGUGGCGGACGGGUGAGUAACGCGUGGGAACAUACCCUUUGGUACGGAAUAGCCUCGGGAAACUGGGAGUAAUACCGUAUGUGGUCGAGAGACGAAAGAUUUAUCGCCAAAGGAUUGGCCCGCGUUGGAUUAGGUAGUUGGUGGGGUAAUGGCCUACCAAGCCGACGAUCCAUAGCUGGUUUGAGAGGAUGAUCAGCCACACUGGGACUGAGACACGGCCCAGACUCCUACGGGAGGCAGCAGGGGGGAAUCUUAGAAAAUGGGGGAAACCCUGAUCUAGCAAUGCCGCGUGAUGGAUGAAGGCCUUAGGGUUGUAAAGAUCUUUCAGGUGGGAAGAUAAUGACUGUACCACCAGAAGAAGCCCCGGCUAACUCCGUGCCAGCAGCCGCCGUAA
RNAcentral lists this ribosomal RNA (449 nucleotides) under uncultured bacterium. RNAcentral's name for it is "partial 16S ribosomal RNA". It matches the Rfam family "Bacterial small subunit ribosomal RNA", at positions 29 to 523 of the family's 1533-position model. The record is from RNAcentral.